UACGUAGGGGGCAAGCGUUGUCCGGAUUUAUUGGGCGUAAAGAGCGUGUAGGCGGCCAGGUAGGUCAGCUGUGAAAACUCGAGGCUCAACCUCGAGACGUCGGUUGAAACCACCUGGCUAGAGUCCGGAAGAGGAGAAUGGAAUUCCUGGUGUAGCGGUGAAAUGCGCAGAUAUCAGGAAGAACACCCGUGGCGAAGGCGGCUCUCUGGGACGGUACUGACGCUGAGACGCGGAAGCGUGGGGAGCGAACAGG
Molecule: ribosomal RNA, 253 nt
Filed under: uncultured bacterium
Lineage: Bacteria
Description: partial 16S ribosomal RNA
Rfam family: Bacterial small subunit ribosomal RNA
Source: RNAcentral